Molecule: unclassified non-coding RNA, 655 nt
Filed under: Hevea brasiliensis (rubber tree)
Lineage: Eukaryota; Viridiplantae; Streptophyta; Magnoliopsida; Malpighiales; Euphorbiaceae
Source: RNAcentral
CAGAAUCCUGAUGAGGAAGAUGUUGAGGCUUUAUGCAAACUAAUGAGCACAAUUGGAUAUAUGAUUGACCAUCCCAAAGCCAAGGAGCAUAUGGAUGCCUAUUUUGACACGAUGGCAAAGUUAUCAAACAACAUGAAACUAUCUUCGAGGGUAAGGUUUAUGUUAAGGGAUGCCAUUGAUCUGAGAAAGAACAAAUGGCAGCAGAGGAGGAAGGAAAAAAGAUUGAGGAAGUGCAUAGAGACGCUGCUCAAGAACGGCAGCAUCAAACUAGUAGGCUGUCUCGCAAUCCUAGCAUAAAUUCCUCUGCAAGAAAGGCACUUGGGGAUUUUGGGCCUAGAGGUUCGGCCAUGUUAUCUUCCCCAAAUGCUCAGAUGGGUGGUUUCCAUGGUUUGCCUGCCCAGGUUCGCGGGUAUGGGACCCAGGAUGUUCGUUUUGAGGAGAGGCAGCCAUAUGAGGCUAGGACUUUGUCAGUUCCCUUACCUCGGCCUCUUGGUGAUGAUUCAAUUACUUUGGGUCCACAAGGUGGGCUUGCCAGAGGAAUGUCUAUUAGAGGGCUACCUGCAAUGGCAAGCACUCCUGUAGCUGAUCUCUCUGCUAGCUCAGGCGACUCGAGAAGAAUCGCCGCAGGUUUGAAUGGUUUUAGUACUGUGUCUGA